GAUGAACGCUGGCGGCGUGCCUAAUACAUGCAAGUCGAGCGAACGGACGAGAAGCUUGCUUCUCUGAUGUUAGCGGCGGACGGGUGAGUAACACGUGGAUAACCUACCUAUAAGACUGGGAUAACUUCGGGAAACCGUAGCUAAUACCGGAUAAUAUUUUGAACCGCAUGGUUCAAAAGUGAAAGACGGUCUUGCUGUCACUUAUAGAUGGAUCCGCGCUGCAUUAGCUAGUUGGUAAGGUAACGGCUUACCAAGGCAACGAUGCAUAGCCGACCUGAGAGGGGGGAUGGCCCACCCGGAACCGGGGACCGGUCCAGACUCCUACGGGAGGCAGCAGUAGGGAAUCUUCCGGAAUGGGCGAAAGCCUGACGGAGCAACGGCGCGUGAGUGAUGAAGGUCUUCGGAUCGUAAAACUCUGUUAUUAGGGAAGAACAUAUGUGGAAGUAACUGUGCACAUCUUGACGGUAACUAAUCAGAAAGCCACGGCUAACUACGUG
Molecule: ribosomal RNA, 497 nt
Filed under: uncultured bacterium
Lineage: Bacteria
Description: partial 16S ribosomal RNA
Rfam family: Bacterial small subunit ribosomal RNA
Source: RNAcentral